UCCGAGGUAGCUCAGCGGUAGAGCAGACGACUGUUAAUCGUCUUGUCCCUGGUUCGAUCCCAGGUCUCGGAGC
RNAcentral lists this transfer RNA (73 nucleotides) under compost metagenome. RNAcentral's name for it is "tRNA-Asn". It matches the Rfam family "tRNA". From Rfam's summary of the family: Transfer RNA (tRNA) molecules are approximately 80 nucleotides in length. Their secondary structure includes four short double-helical elements and three loops (D, anti-codon, and T loops). The record is from RNAcentral.